AGGGCCGCCCACUUCUUGUGUAAACAUACGGCUGAACUGCCUUUUCUUCAUAUCUCAAAAUCGAAAGCUCACCUCUCCCUCUCUCUCUCUCUCUCUCAUUCCCGGCGUCGCCGCCGCCGACCGCCUCGUUGAGCUGCCGCCUCCCACUCCUCUCCAUUUCACACCUUUGUCCCUAUUAUCUCUCAAUUAAAUCUUCCUCAUACCCAAAUCUACAAAAUCGAAAAGAGCUUAAUUCUCAUCAAGAGAUUUCGCCGCCGCCUUCGUGGAACCGCCGACGGUCGUCUCUUUGCUCAUCUCCGGCGAUUGAUUGACGUCGUUCUUCCUUUCGAAAUGAGCCCCAGCUCUCCGCUCUUAUUCUCUCACAGAAAGACCCAGGUGAUUUUCCCUUUUCAAACCCGAGCCCUAGCUUUUCUUUAUCAGAAAUCGCCGUCGCCACUCUGCAAUUUCCGGCGAUGUCCGCCUCUUUCACCGGCCCUGACUCCAUUCCUCUCUCGAUUUCUCUAGCAGCCUCAAGCAGAACUCAAUUUGGAACAUUAAUUAUUCAUCUCUCCUCCACAUUCAAAGGAAGCACACAAAUGAGGGAGAAAAGUUCGGCCCUAGCUUCUCCGUCUAAAAUCGCGGGUCAGCGCCCUGGUUCGAUGCUGUCGCGUCUUCCUUGGCCGGAGAUCGCAGCGCCGCUGAAAUCUGUCCUCUGCUCAAGAACCGGCUCAAGCCUCACUCUCUCCCUUCUUCUAUUGAAUUCUGGUAUUUCUAUAAUUGAUUAUGCAAGAGAUAAAACUAAGUUCGUGGUUUACUAAUGUAUCAAGAAUUUUCCUUGCUUGCCUCGUGUGAUAAGAAAAUAUAGCAUAAACUGAUUUCGAUUGCUAAGUCCCUGUGUGCAUAUAUAUAUACUCGUUGUAAACUUUAUGUCCUUCAACUAAUUCUGUUUGUGAAUGAAAUGCGAAUCGGAUUUGAACGAGCUGAGCUUAGUAAAUACCUGCAAAUAUUUGGUGUUGGUGGCUGCUGUUAUUGAUAUUGAAUGCAGACGAUGGGGACUCUUAAAGUUGGCAGAGCAGCAGCUUAAUGAAUUCUCCUUACUUUGGUGGCUGAAGGAUCAGAGAAUGAAGGCAAGGAGUGUUGGCUAGUAGCCUUAAAGAAUCGAAAAUGGUGGAGGUGGUGGGUGAUUGAGGAGAUGGCUGUCAUAGGGUGGCUGAUUGACACCUAUGUAUACCUUGGCAUGGUUAAAGGGAUGGGAGAGUGGCUUGAAGGCUGCCGUUGCAGCUAUUCUGCACACACAUAGCACACGUCCCCUUUCUUUCCCUUUCUUUGGUCUGCUUUCUUGAUGUAGUAGGUAGGAAAUAGGGAUGCAGGGAAUAGUAAGUUGUAAAGUUGUGAUGUGAUGAAUAAAAUCCUUCAGUGUUGCUCAUUCUGUAUCUAUAAUACUAAUUUCGGGUUCCCAUAUAACGACGCUUCGUUAUAACUCUCUAC
Molecule: long non-coding RNA, 1467 nt
Filed under: Salvia miltiorrhiza (redroot sage)
Lineage: Eukaryota; Viridiplantae; Streptophyta; Magnoliopsida; Lamiales; Lamiaceae
Description: long non-coding RNA (SMIL_LNC010490)
Source: RNAcentral